CUACGCCCACUUGAGUUUUUUUUGUAUUUUCCCCUCAAAUUAGACUGUCAUUCUGUGAGUCCCUACCCGUUUCUGCAUCACAGAAAGAGAAAGAGAGAGAGAGAGAGAGAGAGAGAGAGAGAGAGAGAGAGAGAGAGACGAAGAGGUCUGAACUGUCAAAAUCUCCUUUCUCUCUCAGGGCGUCGUGUUUGUUACACGCGCUGCAGUCUUCAUUUCCCAUCCUACACUCGACUAGAACGGCCCUGCCCUUGCUUCUGCGUUCUCUGUGUCCCCUUUGCGUGUAAGCGUGUGUGUGAGUGUGUAACGUGUGUAUCUCUGCGUUCGUGUUCGUGAGAGAAUUGCAUGCACAACAUCGGGCCUCGUUUCCUCCGUUCACUUCAGUAUUUGUGCGUUCGUGGUCAAGACAACAAGUUCUGGCCGUAGGGAAAAACGGUCACCGAUACACAGGCAUCAGGUUCGUGUGUUGUGUGUGAGUGUGUUCUUUUGCUGGGGCUCCUCCAUUGUUUGUGUAUGUGUGUGUAUGUGUUUGUUGCGUCUUAUUUUUGGGCGUUAAAGAAUUUUUUAAGCUGUCCCCCCUUUUCGUUUGCAACAAAAACUGCAGUUUUGGUUUGACAAAUCAGACUGUUGUUUGGGUGAAAAAAAAAAGGCAAAU
Long non-coding RNA from Daphnia carinata, 652 nucleotides. RefSeq lists it as uncharacterized. The transcript has 3 exons. The record is from RefSeq and is a predicted model, not a curated record. NCBI's taxonomy places the organism in Eukaryota, Metazoa, Arthropoda, Branchiopoda, Diplostraca, Daphniidae.